AUGGUCACGUUUGCAUUCCUUUGUUCACUCUUCCUUCCCAUCCCCUGCAUAAAAGGGAAAGUAAAAGUGUGGAGGGAAAUUCCGGUCAUCGGCUUUAAGAGCCACUCCGAGCACGACAAUACAACACUUCAGAGACAAACGUGCACCAUAUUCCAUCUGAAAACGAUGAAAAGGAUUUAUUCUCAGCUGAAAAAGAGCAGGACACCUUUACUGGUGAACCAAACUGGGCCACCAGAGGACCAGGAACUGGCUACCAGCCAUGAUGAUGGCCCACAAACCAUAGUGUGCACCCUCCCGAGGCCACCAGCAGACCUUCCUGGGAACCUCUGCCAGUACCUGCUCGCUGUGCAGGAAACUGUGCGGAAGGACCUGGGCCCCCACCUGAAGAAUCUGGGCUCGAUGGGCGCACAGGUUGAAAGCUAUCACCGUCAGAUAUUCGACUGCUUCAAUCAUCUGCUGCAGAAGAUAAACGACCUUCAGAGUCUCUUCAUCCUCAUGCAGUGGGUCUGCCAAACGUAUCCGAGUCAGGAGAUGUUUGGUCCACUUCUUCUUCAGGACCUUGAUGUAAGAAAGAACGUGGACCUGCUGCUGUUGACAGAGUGGGUCACAAAUGCAAAGAACAAACUGCUUCAUAGAGUAAAGGAGGACUUCAGAGCUUCUGUGGGAAAAAUCCUGGAAAUGGACAGAACACAUGUCGAUGGCAAUAACGAGGAAGCUUGUGUCAGGUUCUAUGUGGACAUUAUCCAGUUGACCGAGGGACUGUCCACGAGCGCAGGCAAUAUCAGCUCCUCACUGGUAUCUGAGGUUCGAGAGAUUUGCUUCCAGGAGCUGCUGAACAUGUUGCUGGGGUACACGGCUGAACAAAUGGAGCUCCUUGAGAAGAAAACAAAAAUAGACGAAAGAGAAAUGACCUAUUUCCUAAAGACCCUGAAAACCUGCAAAGAAAUUAAGCAGCACGUCAGGACCACAACUACGGACGUCACAAGAAGCCUCCUUCAGGACAUCGUGGCGGUGCUGGAACCCAUGGAGGCCUUUACUUUAACCUGUGUGAAGAAAAUGAUGUCAAAGGUUGCAAAGAGCCUCCUGAAGUCCUACUUCACAGGGAAGAACAAACAAUUCUUCUACUUGAUCCACAAAGUGAAGACCUGUUUUCCAAAUGAGAAGUGGUGUCAGGACGUCAUGGAGAUGGUCGUGGUCGAGAUCUACAACAUCGUCGCUCACACGUACCUCACAUACCUCGUCAAAGUCCGUCAGAACAAACUGACCAAUUGCUGGAGUCCAAACAUCGGCCAAACGGUCACAGAAGAUGCUGAGCUUCUUCACGACACCAUCUCAGAGCUGGUUCCCGGUGUCGACCUUUUGAACCCGAUAUUGAAAGUGACAGAGCUGCUGGAGUGUGAUUCUCAUGAUAUGGUGCUUCUAACAAUGGCAACCUUGCUCCAGGAAUUUCCCCUGCUGCGAGAGGACCUGGUUCUGCAGGUGGCACUGCUGCGAUGGAACCGUCUCUCAGCAUGGCAGGCCAGGAAGGUCCUGGAGGCCAUUCCUGGGCGGCGACAAUCCACGUCUGUCUCAUGGUUCCGCUGUCUGGCCUGA
This is a long non-coding RNA of Takifugu rubripes (torafugu), 1593 nucleotides long. NCBI's taxonomy places the organism in Eukaryota, Metazoa, Chordata, Actinopteri, Tetraodontiformes, Tetraodontidae. The record is from Ensembl.